Anas platyrhynchos (mallard) is the source of this 1791-nucleotide long non-coding RNA. RefSeq lists it as uncharacterized. Lineage: Eukaryota; Metazoa; Chordata; Aves; Anseriformes; Anatidae. The record is from RefSeq and is a predicted model, not a curated record.
UUUUUUUUUUUUAACCCAGGUGAGAUUUUUUUCCAGCAGCCCAUCAGUGUGACCCUGGGCCUCAGCCUUGCUCCCCAGCAUCCGAGGGGCACCACACCGAGCCCCCCCUGGCACAAGCAGGCACAACACCCAUGGUGCUGCCACCACAAGCUGGGAGCAGGGGUUACCCUUUCCCCUUUAUCCCUCCCCUUUCCCAAUUUUUUCCCCUAUUUCCCCCACAAUCUACCCCUUUUCCUCCCGCAUUUCCCCAUUUUUUCCCCUUUUCCCUUUCUUUUCCCCCCAAAUCACAAGCACCUGGGCUCUGCCUCCACCACCUCCCUCCCCAGGUGCCGCUGCUUUGCCCUCCCCACCCCACUCCUCUAUUUCCCCCCGGUGAAGGCAGGCAGCCCCCAGCUGCCCCUGCCUGGGCUGGAGGGAUGCUUGGUGGUCCCUGAGGGAUGCUCGUCCUGGCCCCAGGGAACUUUUUCAUGGGAAAGCAGGAAAACCACGGCAGAUGGAUGUGGCUCUUCUUGCCUUGAUCGAAUGGCCUUUGCAAAAAACGCUGGGUCCUGAGGUUUUGGUGGCAAGUAGCUGGGUGGGUUUUAGUUGGUUUCAGCUCUUUGUUCAUCCCGUUUUGUUCCAUAAAUGCAUGUUAAAGAAAGGAGUGCUGCUGGAGGAGCAGCUGAAACGAACAAAGGCUGUGCCUGGGGGAAUCUAAGCCCCAAUGCAAAGAUUACCCUGGUAACUUCUGAGCCCUGGAUAUCUGAGCAGGAUGGCAUCCUGGGGGAGACCUUACGGGAUCCUCCAUACAAAUACCAAAGGCAAACCCCUUCUCCAUGAGCCGGUCGUCAUCUUCAGAGCUGGCCUGAGAUCCUGCCUGGGCUGCAGGCUGGGAGGUUCGGGAGCUGCUGAGGCCAGGUCCAGCUGAAGUUACACCACUGAAAACCGGUGAAGUCAACAGGAAUAACAUCUAACUUCCCAUGUUUGGGCUGAUGGAAAAUUUUCCCUUGCUGUCUUCGAGUUUGUGUUUGUGCUUUGUGUUCCUUGCCUCCAGUGAUGGAAGCCCUUUGGUUCAGACACAAAAGAACAAACUGACACGAGUUACUUUGAAGGGACCGAGAGGUGCUCCAAGUAUUGUGUCACUGCAAUGGGGAGAAAGCACGACUUACUGAAACGAACCAGAAAUAGCUCUUUUGUCGCUGUGCUGAUUGAUGGAGGAAAAGCAAUGCAAAACUUGCUGCUUGUCACAAUUUGCAACCACGAUAUGAGAGGAAAGCUUGGGGAAGCGGGGACACUGCCAACAAGCAAAGGACACCAGCCAUGCUGCCCACAUCGCCCCACUUUACUUAAAUGGCUUUCAUGCAGGUGCUUGGAUCAGAUAAACACCACAGACAAGCUUGGAUCAGAUAAAAGAUCACAGCCAAAUGGCAGAUCUUUAAGGCAAAAGGGGUCAGGGUGGAGGUGGCUGCUCUCAUGCCCCGGUGUUGUUGCACUUGGCAGCGAGUGGCACGGAUACAAAGGCGAUCACUCACCUUUUGGGCUGAUCCUUUUCAAAUUCCUUAUGGCCAGGUGAGUGAGGCUGGGAUGGACAACUGCCAUGGGCUGGAUGGACAGACAGAUGCUCUGCCAUGGCUUCAGCAGUGCCGCAGGAUGGUGACAGACAGCACGGAGCAGCAGGGCCGAGAAAAAGCAGCGCACGCUCAAGGGAGACACAAUAAAACCCUCUCACGCUAGAAAAGAGCUGGCACUUUAUUAACAUUUUGUAACUAAUAAAUACAUUACCGACAGCCAAUAAAUUAUUACAAUCGCUAA